Podarcis lilfordi (Lilford's wall lizard) is the source of this 69-nucleotide non-coding RNA. Lineage: Eukaryota; Metazoa; Chordata; Lepidosauria; Squamata; Lacertidae. The record is from the annotation of a GenBank genome assembly.
GAUAGCUCAGUUGGCUAGAGCAUAGUGCUGAUAACCCCAAGGUCGCAGGUUCAAUCCCCCUGUGGGACA